RNAcentral lists this ribosomal RNA (305 nucleotides) under uncultured cyanobacterium. RNAcentral describes it as "bacterial SSU rRNA". It matches the Rfam family "Bacterial small subunit ribosomal RNA", at positions 376 to 696 of the family's 1533-position model. Lineage: Bacteria; Bacillati; Cyanobacteriota. The record is from RNAcentral.
CGAAAGCCUGACGGAGCAACGCCGCGUGAGGGAUGAAGGCCUCUGGGCUGUAAACCUCUUUUCUCAAGGAAGAAGAACUGACGGUACUUGAGGAAUAAGCCACGGCUAAUUCCGUGCCAGCAGCCGCGGUAAUACGGGAGUGGCAAGCGUUAUCCGGAAUUAUUGGGCGUAAAGCGUCCGCAGGCGGCCCUUCAAGUCUGCUGUUAAAAAGUGGAGCUUAACUCCAUCGUGGCAGUGGAAACUGUUGGGCUAGAGUGUGGUAGGGGCAGAGGGAAUUCCCGGUGUAGCGGUGAAAUGCGUAGAUA